GUCAUCGAGGACAACGAGAUGGUGACUCUGAUCCUCGCCGGAUUGGACUUCGACUACAAUCCGCUUGUUCAAUCUGUCGUGAGCAGGCCCACUCCAAUCUCGGUGAGCGAACUCUAUUCUCAGAUGCUUGCCUAUGACU
Panicum virgatum (switchgrass) is the source of this 139-nucleotide small nucleolar RNA. RefSeq annotates it as small nucleolar RNA Z247. Lineage: Eukaryota; Viridiplantae; Streptophyta; Magnoliopsida; Poales; Poaceae. The transcript has a single exon. The record is from RefSeq and is a predicted model, not a curated record.